RNAcentral lists this small nuclear RNA (289 nucleotides) under Mus pahari (shrew mouse). Its description in RNAcentral is "sRNA (MGP_PahariEiJ_G0008251.1)". It matches the Rfam family "7SK RNA". From Rfam's summary of the family: 7SK was discovered as an abundant small nuclear RNA in the mid-70s but a possible function has only recently been suggested. Two independent studies have found that 7SK RNA binds the CDK9/cyclin T complex (known as elongation factor P-TEFb). P-TEFb activates transcription by phosphorylating the C-terminal domain of RNA polymerase II. Lineage: Eukaryota; Metazoa; Chordata; Mammalia; Rodentia; Muridae. The record is from RNAcentral.
GAAUAUGAGAGUGACAUCUGUCACCCCAUUUAUUGCCAGUGUUAAUUCCGCUGAUCUGCAUAGCUAGGCAGUUGUCCCCUUCUUCCUUCAUGGCUACACAAUCAAGUGUCCUUCCUGAAGUUGCUUGUUGAGUAAAAGAGGAUGAACUUUCCCAAUAGAGGAGGAACAGUCUUUCAUCAAGGGUAGACAGCCCUGCCAUGCUAGAGCCACCAAAUUCUCAUGUUGUUACGGGAAAGGCAGGCAUCAUCGUCUCUUGCUGAUCUACUCGGUUCCCAUAAAGUUAGUUUAU